CAGUCGCCACGGUAAUACGGAGGGAGCUAGCGUUGUUCGGAAUUACUGGGCGUAAAGCGCGCGUAGGCGGUUACUCAAGUCAGAGGUGAAAGCCCGGGGCUCAACCCCGGAACUGCCUUUGAAACUAGGUGACUAGAAUCUUGGAGAGGUCAGUGGAAUUCCGAGUGUAGAGGUGAAAUUCGUAGAUAUUCGGAAGAACACCAGUGGCGAAGGCGACUGACUGGACAAGUAUUGACGCUGAGGUGCGAAAGCGUGGGGAGCAAACAGGAUUAGAUACCCCUGUAGUCCCUGUCUCUUAUAA
This 301-nucleotide ribosomal RNA is filed under the name uncultured bacterium. RNAcentral describes it as "partial 16S ribosomal RNA". It matches the Rfam family "Bacterial small subunit ribosomal RNA", at positions 509 to 809 of the family's 1533-position model. The record is from RNAcentral.